GCAGAUUUCCCUUACACGGGGACUGUAAGGUUUAUCGAACUAGGAGGACCCUGAGGAUCAACACGUAGGUGUCUACUGCUCUGGCACUAGGAGAAGACAUGGACCUGCACACACAACAAAUAACUUUGCUCCCAACGAGUACAGACAGGUUGUCAAUCUCUCCGACCUUGUACUUUGCAAAGGAUAAAAACACAAGCGGGAAUAGUGAUAGUGAUUGUAAUGGAAAAGUAACUGAAAGCAGUAAAUGGUGGAGGUUUAAGCGAUGGUGGUAAUAUGGACCUGAGUCACAUGAUGUUCACUAGUGAUGUCUCUCUCCCAAAAGACGAUAAACAACUAUGCAUGGGUAAACAAAUUACAGCUGGGCAAUUGACAGAAAUAUAAACGCACCGCAAUGCUAAUUAUGCUACUUGAAAGUUAGAGACACAAUAGUAAUGGGCAUUACGACAAGACAAGUAGACCGUUUAUUCAUCAGCAUCUACUUAGUAAUCAUCCACCUUGAGAUAUCUAUCCAGAACAUCUCGCUGGUAUUAAGUUGCGAGCCCCACCCAAAGAGUAAACUCAAAGCAACAGACAAUUGCAUUAACGAACUUUGCGUAAGGUCAACAAUACUUGCAACCGUGGUUACAAGCACCGUUGUUUUCCCCCUGGUGGCAACAACACAUCCCGUAGUCUCAUGUUUCUGUCACUCAAGCUAGACAUUAGGGGGCAUGAACCCAUAAUCAUGCAUAACGCUCCUUCUUGGAGUUACAAUCUACUACUCGACUGAACAUAAUCUCAUAAUCCAUCGGAUCCCAACAAACCAAGCCUAGCAAUAGCAGGAAAAUUACAUAGAUGCCUUGAUCAUGUAGGGCAGCUCACAAGGGCUAAUCAUUGAAGCACAAGAUUGGAGAGAAGACAUCACAUAGCUACUGGUUAUGGACUCAUGGUCCAACGAGGACUACUCAAGACACGUCCGGGAAGCGUCCAUGGCAGUGGAGAAGCUCCCGGAGGUUAAUCCUCCGUCAGGCAGGGUGCCGGGUAGAGGCCUGUUGACGCUCCCGAUAUCGGAAGCGCUGCAGCGUCGGAACGAUGGAGAAAUUUGCGAUUCUGGAUAUUCUCGAAGGGUUUCCAAUCGGAGGGGUAAAUAUAGGCCAAAUGAGGGCGUCAGAGGAGGUGGGGCCCACCCAGGCGACCCGUGGGCGCGGCCAGGGGCCAGGCCGCGCAGGGAGGCCCCCUGGGUAGGCCCUCGCUCCCGUCUGGCCCACCUUCGGUGCUCCGGAAGCUUCCCUCACGCUUAUUUUUAUAUAUUUUUCCUCGGAAUUUUUGGGACUCGGUAAAUUUGGGUAGAAGUCCCUGCAAAAAAGACAUCAGUAGACAGAAACUGGCACUGGGUGCACUGAAUUAGUAGGUUAGUCCAAAUAUGUGUAAAAAGAUAUAAAAGUGUAGCAAAACAUAUAACAAUGUCACCCAAAAUAUCAUAGAACAAGCAGGAAUUAUAGAUACGUUUGGGACGUAUCAACAUCCCCAAGCUUAAUUCCUGCUCGUCCUCGAGUAGGUAAAUCAUAACACAAAUAAUUUCUGUGGUGACAUGCUAACACACAUAUAAGAACUUCAAAGUAAAGCAAGUGAGAUAUGCAAUUCAAUUCAAGACAAUAACAAGCAAGAGUCUAUAUUUAGUAUUGAAAUUAGCAAAGUAAGAACAUAAGGGUGCAAGAGCUCUCGCUGUCCGUGACUCGAAUGUCUCCAAAUGGUGUUUGCGUGCAAGAAGUGGGAGAUGGGUUUAGAGCAUAAAAAUAUUUUUUUAAUUGAGAACUCAAUCUACUAAACUUCACACUUGGUAUCCUUUGGAAUCUUAUUUUGACUCAUCCCCAGACCACUAGUCAGGCACAUGUCAAAAUGAUCCUCUCCCUUUCGACUUUGAGCACUCAUGCAAUGGAUGAGCGUAAGAAAGAUAUGUUGGCACUUAGGAUGGCAAAUAGAAUAAUUAUGGGGAAGGAAGACAAAAAGGGUGUGAAAGACUCACAUCAAUUAGGACAAUGAUAGGCGAGAGAAAGCCAAAUGAUAGAUAUGAUGUGAGAAGUAGGGAUUGCCAUGCAACAGAUGCACAUAUGAGAUAAGGUAAGCUCUCCAAUGAAACUAGUGGGGGUGCAUCCAACUUGCUUUCUCACAAAGACCUAGAGCUCAUUUGAGGAGGCUCAUCAUUGGAUAUAUAAGCCAAGUUCUAUAGCGUAAGGGUCCCCACAUAGUUAUGCAUGAAUGAUAAUCUCUAUGUAGUACAAAUAUAACAAUGGAGUACGAGUGUGGAUCUUUCAAAAGGAAUAGUAGUGUUGCCCUCUUCUCUCUUUUUUAUUUCUCUUUUUUCCCUUUUUAUUUUAUUUUUGUGUGGCCUCUUUGGCUCUUUCUAUUUAUCUGUCAUUUGUCCUCUUUGGGAUCUUUUAAUUUGUCCUCUUUGGGAUCUUUUCCUCACUUAAGGGCAACACUCUAUGUUUUACAAGAAUAAAAAUAAGAUCAUCACACUUUAGAAGAAAUACUCAACAUAAAGACAAAUGAAAACUAUCAUGAUGUAUGCAAAUGUAUGCCUUUGCCAGUGUAGCAGGAUAUGCAAUGAAAUUAGCGCGUCAUGUAGCAAUAAUAAGGGCAAGUCCCAACUAGCAUGCGGCUCAUCGAUCAAGCAAAAUCAUGUAUGACAUGAAGAUCAAGUCAUGAGAUGGUGGAUGUUGCAUGGAAAUGUAUCUCGGAAAGGCUAUGAAAAUGCCUUAAUAGGUAGGUAUGGUGGCUGUUUUGAGGUAAGAUAUAAUGCGGCUUAUGAUGACAGAGCGUGUCAUGCCAAGGGUUUGCAUGCACGAGAAAAGUUUGCACCAACUCUCAAGAUGAGAAAGGACAAUGCACGGUACUGAAGAGGCUAGCAAAAUAUGGAUGGUGGAAGUGCCAACAAUGAUAUACUCGCAUUAGUCCGAAGAACUCAUACAUUUAUUUUCGGUAACUCACUAUCUAGUUAGGAAAUUCACAAAGAUACAAGUACCCCGAGGAGGAGUGUUUGGGGGUUUGGUUAUCCUUACGCAUCCUCGACCCAUGGUAACGUGAGGGUACUCUAUAUAUUCCAACCCCUCGAGAGGUUAGCGAUCAAUCUAGUAGCUAGAGUUCUCAACUAAUUUUUUAAUUUCUGAAAACACACGGAUUUCCCAAAAUAUGACACCUAUAACUAAUAGGCUCAAGAUCUUGGCACCAAUAGUCCAAACAUUACUCAAAUCAAUACCUAAAAACUAUUGCAAGUUACUACUAUACUUAAAUUGCAACCUUAGUUACCUACUGAUGCAAGACACACAACUCAGUGCAACAAAACAACACUCUAAACAAGAUAAGCAUGAUAACUCAAGAGGGUUCCAAAAGAAACCUAAAUAAAAGCUCUUAAAAAGAUAAAGCAUGAAAACUAAGAGCUAAGCAUGACAGAAGCUAUGAAAAGAUAAAGAACACGCAAAAAAAGAUAAGCAUGAAAACCUAUGUUAUGUUCUAGAGUGGAGUGGAGCGUGUUUUUCUCCCAAACAAGUAUGGCUAGGAUCCUACUUGUUAUGAACAACAAGCGAAACUAAAACAAACUAAAAAGUAAAGAGAGGGACGCUCCAAGCAUAGCACAUAACAUAUGAAGUGAUAAAAAUAUAGCAUGGAGAUGGACGAACUGAUGAUUGUUGAUGGAGAAGGGGAUGCACGGGGGCAUCCCUAAGCUUAGACGCUUGAAUCUCCUUGAAUAUUUCUUGGGGGUGCAUGGGCGCACCCCCAAGCUUAAGCGCUUGACACUCCUGGAUCUUCUUUCAUCAUCUUCCAUCGCAUACUUGAAAACUCCCUUCAUACGAAACUCAUCAUAAGCUGAUUAGAGUGGUUAGUACCCAUAAUAAAAUAAUUUAUUGUCUACUGGAAAUAGAGAUUUUCAUGAAAAUCUACUAUUUCUCAUGAUUUCCAAAAGAUUUUUGCAAAGGAAAAGCAAGCUUAAGAUUUCCAAAACGAUGAAAAUGCAAAACGUGGCAGAAUCUGUGAGAAACAGAACAACAGGUAGUAAAUAAUUUUUUUGGGGCACUUCUGCAACUCAAAUAAAAAAACUCAGAACAUAUGCGAGAAAAAAAAUUAUAUAUAUCAUGCUCUAAAAAAAUUCAGAUCAAAAAUAUGAUCUGGUGAUUUUGCGAAUUGUUCCGUCAAGCAGAGAUAAUCUGUUUCUGGACAUCACGUCACAACUUUUGAACUUUCUUGCAAUCGGAGGCUAAAACUUGGCACAAAGCUUGAAAAUAAAUAUACAAUGAGGUUGCUACAGUAGUAACAAGCAUCAGGACCACUAAAACUGAAAGUAAAAACUCAAAGUAAAGAUAACAAGGGUUGUCUCCCUAGAGCUCUUUCUUUAUAGCUAUAAAGAUAGGCUUAAGAUUUUAAUGAUGCUAUCGUAGGAAUAAGAGUUGUAGAACAAAAGAGAGCAUCCAGAAGAAAAUACCAAACACAUUUAAAUCUAACAUGCUUCCUAGGCAUAGGAAUCUUACAAUAGAAUAAUUCAUUGAAGCUCAAAGCAAUAAGCAUAGGAAGGCAAAACAAGUGCAGCUUCAAAACCUUCAACAUAAAGAGGGGAAACUUCUUAUUUUUUAGAUAUUUAGAACCAUGUCUCCCCCUAUCAUUAUAAAUUUCAGUGGUAUCAUGGAUGAACUCAACAAUAUAACUAUCACAUAAGGCAUUAUUUCCAUGAUCCAAAGGCAUAAAAGUAUCAUUAAUCUUCUUAUAAGCAAAAUCUUUCUUAUUAGGAAUAGUGAGAGUAAAUAAAUCAUUAUCAUCAUGGUGAUCAUGAAAGAAAAUUUUAUCCUCAAAAGUUGGGGGCUAAAAAUAUCGUGUUCAUCAAACCCUUCAUCCCCAAGCUUAGAGCUUACCAUGUCAUUAGCAAUAUUGAUAUUCAAAGAAAGCAUACUAAUAUCAUUGCCACCAUCAUAAUUGUUACGCAAAUAAUAAAGUUCCAUAGGUUUAUUAAUUUCCUCUUCGAACACUUCAUGUACUAGUUCAAGAUAAAGUUUAUAAAGCUCUCUCAUAUUUGUGUUGUUUUCCAUUAAGCCUAACUAGCAGGACUAAAAAGCAAAGGUAAAAGAUAGUGUGCAACUCCCCUAUCUUGAACACUAGAGUCCCCAGCCACCCGCCAUAAAUUUGCUUGAUGACGAGUUGAUGGAUAUACUUCGCACCCCUCGUUGGCACCAAGUGGAAGGUUGAGAUGUAGUGAGCAAUAGAUUUCCCUUACAUGGGGACUGUAAGGUUUAUCGAACCAGGAGGACUCCGAGGAUCAACAAGUAGGUGUCUGCUGCUCUGGCGCUAGCAGAAGACAUGGACCUGCACACACAACAAAUAACUUUGCUCCCAACGAGUACAGAGAGGUUGUCAAUCUCUCCGGCCUUGUAGUUUGCAAAGGAUCAAAACACAAGCGGGAAUAUUGAU
Molecule: long non-coding RNA, 5433 nt
Filed under: Hordeum vulgare
Lineage: Eukaryota; Viridiplantae; Streptophyta; Magnoliopsida; Poales; Poaceae
Description: long non-coding RNA (HVUL_LNC014910)
Source: RNAcentral